CGGCGGCCAGUCUAGGUAUUCGGUUUUAGAAUAGGGGAAGAGAGGGCUUCCUAGGAUGAGGUAGCUUCUAGGUUUGCGAGAGUGGGGACGGAGUGGUAGCGGGCGGAGGGACGGCGGGACGGCACGGGGUGGCAGCGGGCGGCGGGCGGAGGGGCGGAGUAACGGCACAGGGGACAGCAGGGCAGAACGGACGGAGGACCGGUGGACGGGACAAGGGACGGCGUAGGUGAGGGACGACGCAGGGGGCGGGGUGGCGGUGGGACGGAGGGGAGGCCGGGCGGUACACGGGUACAGGGGGUGGCUGGGUGCGGCGUGACGGGGAUGGCACGGGGGAGAAGAAGGGGAAGAGAUCAAGGUCGCGAGGUCGCCUUGUUACCGUACUGCCCGAACCACUGGUACCGGUGCGGCCGGCCCUACUGCAGCGGCGCGGCAGGUACAACUGGAACAGCGCGGACGACCAGCCUUCUGAUAGUCUAAAUGGGCCGCAACAUGGGGGACAAGAGGUUGUCCGAUCUUCCCGAUCUACUAGUCAGGUCGUUACCCACAGUCCGUACCAAACUAUGUAUACGUCUGCUCUGUAGACUUUUUGACUCUAGUCCAAUCGUGUUUAGUAAACAUGGUAGUCUGUGAAUUCAAUAUGAUAUUGCUGAUGAAAAAACCAAACAAACGUGUUUCCUUUGGUAAUCAACAAGCGUGAAAUAAAUAGUAACUCAAUAGAAUAAAUAGAUGUUCUUGUACAAGAAUACCCACAGUAUCAGACUACCAGCUACAUAUGAUAGUACAUUACGUUCCCCGCUUCGGUCGUUAGACCGCACCAAACCGCAGGCGGUAUGCAUUUUAAACGACGUUUCAGAUACAUAUAUAUGGCGAUUUUAGAAUAUGUGGUGCGUAUGCUUUUAAACUCGAUUCUGCACGGAGGUACGCCCCGGACUAACUACUACCCAGCACCGAACUACAUCACCUGAACAUCCAACAUUGAACUAACGUGCAGUCGUGUAAUCAUUUUGAUCGCUAAUGAGGCCGGUUUGGGAGCACUAAUCCUCCUAACGAGGAGAUUUGUGCUGUCACGCACUUCCGCCACCCCGUACCGGACUGCCUACGACCUGUGUACCCCUGGCACCGUGACGAAGACGCUCCGCUCAAACGCUGAUCGUUCCGGCGCUCCCAGUCAUACGAUAUGCGUCUACCACCGUUUCUUUUCGUUCACGCAUGAUAUUACUUUCCAUUAACAACACCAGCUCACUUUAUACGAGACGAUAAGUUAGACAAGAUCACGUGAAGGUAACAACUUACUGGUUAACUAAGCCAAGACGAACAUUAAAACAAUAUGUAUAAAUUCAUCGUCAAAACGGUUCGUUCAGAGUGACUUCGGUCAGAUUGAAACCUACAUCAACGACCUGUUGCUGUUCUCCUUACAGUAACGGUAUAAGACAAUUCUUUCAUUUCGAAGUAAUACCCAAAUACUGAUGCAUAAGAAAUAGCUAGAAGUGAUACUAAAAUAGGAUGAUCAAUGGUUAAUUACUAAAUAGAUAUCAAAUAUACAAAAUAUCUAGUAGAAAUACGGAUAGACCAAUUAUAUGUACUAUUUAAUACCUAGCCAGUAGGUAGACCACUGCAUACAACUCACGCUUGUGAAUUUAAAACCUAAAACCAAUAUAAGAGUCUUGUGUUUCAUUAUAUACAGAUGAUAUCACUCGAGAACGUAUUAAUGUACUAUAUACUAAACGAGGUAGUAUUUGGGGUGGUACGCAAGACGGAAGCGGUGACUUAUACGUACGAGAAUGUGUUUCUGCUAAGAACUCCACUACGAUACAUUCAAACUCGAAUAGUUGUAUGAACGGUCGGAAACUUUGAUUGAUCAACCACAUAGGGAUAGGUAAACGUCUGAAAUCGUCGAUUUGUUCCUCACAGAUAGUUGUUUUAAGGUGGUGGAGGUCAAGGUGGUUCACGAACAAGCCGACGAGAACAUCUAAAACCUUUGUUCGUGUCUUGACGUUUGAAACACACGAGCCGUUGUACAUCUUGUAGUUCAGACAAACUUCUGGUUGAAAACCCACUUACGCAACUAUUGUAUAACGAUGUUCAAAAUCAUCAUCAUCAUCUAUGAACAGAACUGGUAAUUACGAACAUACACGACUAAAUCCAUAAGACGAUCGACAUCGUUAAAAAAACUUAAAACCAAGAUUUGGCUGGAACAUAGAGCAAAGUUUGACUGGAACCCAGACUACAUACACACAGUAAACUUGUACUUAGACUACACAUGUAACUUAAUGCUGACAUUAAAUAUUUAAACUUAAUACUAAGUCUUAAAU
RNAcentral lists this ribosomal RNA (2312 nucleotides) under Triticum aestivum (bread wheat). RNAcentral's name for it is "partial small subunit ribosomal RNA". The record is from RNAcentral. Lineage: Eukaryota; Viridiplantae; Streptophyta; Magnoliopsida; Poales; Poaceae.